CCCUUAGAUGUUCUGGGCCGCACGCGUGCUACACUGAGUGGAUCAGCGGGUCAGGUUGCGCGAAAGUGUUUCCUAAUCUUGAAAUCCGCUCGUGAUGGGGAUUGACGGUUGCAAUUUUCCGUCAUGAACGAGGAAUACCUUGUAAGCGCGGGUCAUCAUCCCGCGCUGAAUACGUCCCUGCCCUUUGUACACACCGCCCGUCGCUCCUACCGAUUGGAUGGUUUAGUGAGGACUCCUGAUUGGCGCCGCCGCCCCGGCAACGGAGCAGCGGACUGCCGAAAAGUUGUUCAAACUUGAUCAUUUAGGGGAAGUAAAAGUCGUAACA
Molecule: ribosomal RNA, 325 nt
Filed under: uncultured eukaryote
Lineage: Eukaryota
Description: partial 18S ribosomal RNA
Rfam family: Eukaryotic small subunit ribosomal RNA
Source: RNAcentral